GAGGGUAUAGCUCAGUGGUAGAGUAUAUGCUUAGCAUGCAGAAGGUCUUGGGUUUAAUCUCCAGCAUCUCCA
This 72-nucleotide transfer RNA is filed under the name Camelus bactrianus (Bactrian camel). It matches the Rfam family "tRNA". Rfam says of the family: Transfer RNA (tRNA) molecules are approximately 80 nucleotides in length. Their secondary structure includes four short double-helical elements and three loops (D, anti-codon, and T loops). Further hydrogen bonds mediate the characteristic L-shaped molecular structure. tRNAs have two regions of fundamental functional importance: the anti-codon, which is responsible for specific mRNA codon recognition, and the 3' end, to which the tRNAs corresponding amino acid is attached (by aminoacyl-tRNA synthetases). tRNAs cope with the degeneracy of the genetic code in two manners: having more than one tRNA (with a specific anti-codon) for a particular amino acid; and 'wobble' base-pairing, i.e. permitting non-standard base-pairing at the 3rd anti-codon position. RNAcentral also lists the same sequence under 2 other names. Lineage: Eukaryota; Metazoa; Chordata; Mammalia; Artiodactyla; Camelidae. The record is from Rfam by way of RNAcentral.